AUAAAAAAUGUGUGAUUGAAAAGAAGAGAGAGAAAAAUACAUUUUGAUAAAAAUGAGUGCCAAACAGGCCUAUGUCUUUUUCUUUUAGCCCGACAUGCUCUAGAUCAUUCCCUUGGUGGCCGGCUGUGACAAACAAAAUGGUUAAAAGGAGAUGAAACCCUAUAGUGUGAAGGAAACAUAAAGCUCACGCCUCAUCCAUCUGUCUUCAACGCCACCAUCGGCUUCAAUUCCAUUAGAUCAGGUAUGAAAUGCUCAGCUAUUGAAGCAGUAUAUGGGUAGAUUUUUCCCAUCUGGGCAUGAAUUAAAAUUAUUUCUCAUCUUCUUUAUGUGUAUUAGAAAGGUGUAACUUUUUGAGAUUUAUACAUAUAAGCUUUAAUUUUUCAAGAUAAGUUUGUUCGAUCCGCGUAUUAGAGAUCUGUAUGAAUUUAUUGGGAUUUCUUUUCCUUGCUCAUCUGUUCCUAACCUUAUCAUCGAGUCAGCUGUUAUCUCUUUUUUGGCUAUCAUUGCAUAGAGCUUGAAGCAAUGAUUAAUUUGGAGAAACUGCUAAAUUUUUAUGCUUAGAUUUUAUUUUUAUUUUGAAUAUCUUUUUAGAUUUUAUGAUUGUGGGAAAACAGAACUGGAUCGAAAUGGUUUGUUUUGGUUCCGCCGCCCUUAUAAUUUAGGAAAAUAAAUAAAUAAAUUCUGGGUAAAAUACCUAUGUUUUGUCCAGUGAUAAAGGAAAUUGGACUGAACUGUAUUUUGUCCACCCAUAAUAGAGUAUCACUGCUAAUUUUACUUUUAAGUAGUUUAUUAAUUAUCAGUUGGUGUUUUAAUCUUAGUUAAACGAAAACCCAAUUUGUUAUUUGGACAGGAUGGACAUCUGAUCACAAUGUAAUGUGUUGAAUUCACUAAUCUCAAAAGGCUACAUCUCAAACAACAUGGUUUUCCUACCAUAGAGAAAUCAGAUCAAGAUCUAGUUUCAGUCCAUUUUGCCUGGUGGAAGAAAAUGGCCCAAUUCUUCAUCAUUUUCAAUAAGCUUGUCAAUUUGUUAAUUGUGGAGGGUAAAUUUUGUUUCAGUACGAAUGAUCGGGUGCUUUAUGAUGACAUUGCUCAAAGCGAGGUAAGUGGAAGAAUAUGUGAUCUUGGUAUGGGUGGUAUAGGAAAAAAUUACUCCUUUUUCGUGCUCUAUUUCUAAGGUAUGCCUCUUAUAAGUUAAAAUGUUUUCAUGAGUGUACCCCUUUUCUCUUUUUUCCCCAUAUUUUUUAGAUUCUUUAGCAUGGUAACAGUCAUCAGAACCAAUUUAUGCUUCUGAAUCAUAGAAUUCAUCAACCAUUUCAGUUUCUCCUUCAUCAGGUUCUAAGGAAAUAGUGGAAGAUGGUCGGGUCCAAAAUGGCCAUUGACCAUUUAUUUUUAAAAAAGGAAAAAAUAUUAAAACCAUAAAAAAUAUUGAAAAGCCAUUUAUACCUUCACAUCAUUUUGAAAAGAUAGAAGAUUGGAAAACAUUGUUCACAAAAUGUCGACCAACACCGUCGAGAAACCCCUGAUCCAGAUCGGAGAUUGUCAUUUGCUUGAAGUAAUCGAGUUUUGAAACUUUUGGUACCAUUGAUUGAGUAAAUAAAGCAUGUUGCAUGUUCAUUUGUUGAAUAAUCUUUGUAGAAAUUGUUGUAGAUAAUAAAUUGUGCAUGAAAUUGAGGAUUUUGGUACACUUGAGGGGCGAAGAUAGUUGGGAAUGACGAUCUUUGCUAUAUGUAGCUCACACAUUUUUAUCUAGUCAAAGUCAAUAGUGGAAUUUUCAGAAUUAAGUCAAAUGAGGACUUGUAUGAAAUAAAUCGUUUUUAUUGGGACUUGAUUGACCAAAUCAUUUUAUUUGGGUUUAUCUUAUAAAUUAUAAAUAUUUUGAAGGUUAAGUUGGACAAAAUAAAAAAAAAAAUUUGGGAUUUAUUUAUAUAUUUUUGGAAGUUGAGGAUUUACUUGUAUGUUGUAAUUAGAUUUAAGGGACUUUCUUUGCAAAUUGAACAUGUGGGACUUUAAAAUUCAACUUUUGACCAUUCUUUUUCUCCCAAAAUCCACCCCUACACACACAGUAACGCGAGAGAAGCAGAGACUGUGAGAGAAGAAAGAAAAAAGAAAAGAAGAAAGGAAAAAGAAGAAGAAAAAUGAUGGUAAAAAAAAGGGAAGAAGAAAAGGGGUAAGGUUAAUCUCUUCAAGUUGGGAUGUAAUUUAUCCAUUGUUCUAAGUGAUAAAGGUGUGAUUUAUGUUAAAUUUUUAGGGUUUUAACUUGUAGUAAUAAAAUGUCAAAUUUAGGUAAUAUAUGUACGAUUUGGAGCUCAAGCUUGGGGAUUAAUUAAGUUUCAGUUUCAGCAAGGUAGGUAGUAAAAUUUUUGGGGAAACCCUAGAAUUCGAUUUCGGAUUUUUGAUUAAUUAAUUGUGGAAAUGAGUAUAGAAAUGGAAUAUUUCAUUUGGGAGUUGAUUUUAUGAAACAAAAUGUAUAUUAAAUGGGUGAAAUUAUGUUUACUAGUUUCACUAGAUUGGAGAGUAAAAUUAGUUUUAAACUUGGGAAGAAGGUUUUGUUAAUGAAUUAGUUAUUAGAAAAGGGAUUAGAAAAUGAGAUUAGCUCCAAUUGAUCAAAAGAAUAUUUGGGAAAUUCAUUCGAGCAUCGACCAAUUUUAGUUAAGUAUUAUAGAAGUAGAUCUUAAUGUUUCUUAAUUUAAUAGUGGUUGAUUAGUCAUCUUGUUAUGUAUUCCAAGUGAUGACGAGGAGAUUGGAAGAGCCUAUCGACCAUAUUAGAUUCAGCUUGUAUUAUGUGAGUGGAUAAGCUUAUUUUUCAGAAAUUAGUAUUUAUUUAAUUUAUACUAACUCAAAAAAUUUAAUAAUUCAUACAGUCGAUUUGACGACACGAUUUUCAGAAUAAAGUUGUUUUUAAAAGUUAAAUUCAAUUUAGUAGAUCAUUUUAUUAUCAUGUUAUAUGAGUAUUAAAUAUUUCAGCAUAUUUAAAGUUAUUUUCUAAAAAUCACCAGAAAGCACCCAGGUGAUUUUACCUUCGUCUGUACUGGUGUGAAUGUGUUUCUACAGUGUAUGACGUCAUAUGGUUAUUUUACCCAAUCUGCGCUGGUGUGAAUGUGUUUCCACAGCGUAUGAUCAAUAUAGUGAUUUUACCCGCUCUGCACUAUUGUGAAUGUGUUUUCAUAGUGUGUGACCAUUUUAUAGCUCUGCGCGCGUACGACCAGAAUUACAGAAUUUCAGAAUUACAGGAUUACAGAAUUACAAAAUUUCAGAAUUGAAUAACCUUGCUAUGUUUAUUGAGAUUAAUCGAUACACGAAUAUGUUUAUUUUGGGUACAUUUACAAAAUUUCAGAAUUGAAUAACCUUGCUAUGUUUAUCGAAAUUAAUCGAUACAAGAAUAUGGUUAUUUCGGAUACAUUUUUGGUGUGAUGUUUCGGUAUUACAUAGCUUAUCAGAUUUUAGAAAUGCAGUAUACAGAGUAAAGAUGUUUAUGAUUAUAGUAUAUUUUAUUUUUGAUAGUAUUAUCAGAUGUUAAGCUAUAUAAUUCAAUUUAUUCAGUUUAAAGAAUAAAUAUUUUAGUUUAUAUGUCUGUAAAAAGAAAUUUUAUGUUAUAUGUCGGUUUUCAGAAAGAUUUUAUGAUUGGAAAAGUAUACUUUUAUAAAGUUCAACUUUUACAAAUAUCCACUCACUGAGUCGCAAGCUCAUAUUUUUGUCACCUCAUUUCUUAUCAGAUAGAAGCUGCGUUGAGCCAUAUUGGAGCCUGUCGAUCGGCGAGUUGAACUACAUCGUGUCAUUGUUUGUAUGUCUCAUCUCGUUAAUUCAUACAACACAUUUUCUGGGAUUGAUGUAUUUUGUUCAGAAAAUGUAUUAAGUCACAGGCUCGUUGCAUAUUUUGUGUAUGUUUUGAAAUGAAGUUGUUUGGUGGUAAAGAAGGGUAAAUUUCUUUUUCAGUAAAACUACUUUGAAGAAUUGGUAUUUUGAGGGGCUGGUGUAUCAUGUUUUAAACUAUAUGUACAUGUUUAGAAUAUUUGAUUUUAUUUUCAGGUAGUUUUAGUCUAUUUUUCAGAUGGUAUUUUGUCGAAAUUUUUAUAAAAUUAUAACAGUCAAAGCAUGUCAAGUUUGCUGUGGUGGUAGGUCUGACACUUCGCUGGUAUCUACUAUCGGUGCAUGACACGUGUCGGAUCCAUUAGGGUGAUCCGGACAGGUCGUGUCAAAUUGGAUCCAAAAGGCUGAAGUCCAAACUAUGCUUAGAUUUUUGGGUCGUCUGGAAUCUAAAUGGCCCGAAUCGGAUCCGUUAGACUAGGCUGCCUCAAUUUGAGGAAAUCGUUGCCAAUGGCUGCCCCACCCGGCUACUCUUUCAUAAGGGUCUUUGAUCAAAUUUUUUGUAAUAUAUAUAUAUAUAUAAACAAAAUUUAAAUGGUCGAAAAUACCCUCAUUUGGAAAGAAGAGGAGGAAAAUAGAGAAAAAAAAAGUAGUCUUGAUCGAUGUCGCCUAUGGACGACCCGGACUUGACCCACUUAGAUAAAGAUCGGACACACCUCGAUCAGUCGGAGAUCGCUAUUUUCUAGAAGGUUAGACAUGUUCUCCAUAAAUAAUUACUUUGAAUAUGUGAAAAUUUGAAUGUUUAGGAUUUGAAUAUGAGUUAAAUUCAAUUUUUUAUGGUUAAAAUGAAAGAAAAGAUCGAAUUUGAGGUUGAAAUGUUGAAAAAAUGAAAAAAUGAGAUGAAGCUUGCCGAAUCCAGUCCAUAAUGGACCGGGACGAUCCGUUACGGACAAGAUGGGUCUGUAACGGACCAAUGGUCCGGGUCCGGACCCGACAAUGGGCUCG
RNAcentral lists this long non-coding RNA (4809 nucleotides) under Olea europaea subsp. europaea. Lineage: Eukaryota; Viridiplantae; Streptophyta; Magnoliopsida; Lamiales; Oleaceae. The record is from RNAcentral.